This 207-nucleotide ribosomal RNA is filed under the name uncultured bacterium. Its description in RNAcentral is "partial 16S ribosomal RNA". It matches the Rfam family "Bacterial small subunit ribosomal RNA", at positions 568 to 774 of the family's 1533-position model. The record is from RNAcentral.
CACGCAGGCGGUGCGGCGCGUUUCGCGUGACAGCGGGUGGCUUAACUGCCCGAGGAUGCGAAAGACGGCGGCACUUGAGGGCCAGAGAGGGACACGGAAUUCCGGGUGGAGUGGUGAAAUGCGUAGAGAUCCGGAGGAACACCGAAGGCGAAGGCAGUGUCCUGGCUGGUGACUGACGCUGAGGUGCGAAAGCUAGGGGAGCGAACG